GUGGUAAUGCCGGAUGCUCCGGUUGGAUGCAUGUCCUUCCGGGAAAGAUUCCAUCGGUAUGGGAUGGGGUCGCGUCCUAUCAGCUUGAUGGCGGGGUAACGGCCCACCAUGGCUUCGACGGGUAGCCGGCCUGAGAGGGCGACCGGCCACAUUGGGACUGAGAUACGGCCCAGACUCCUACGGGAGGCAGCAGUGGGGAAUAUUGCACAAUGGGCGCAAGCCUGAUGCAGCGACGCCGCGUGCGGGAUGGAGGCCUUCGGGUUGUAAACCGCUUUUGAUCGGGAGCAAGCCCUUCGGGGUGAGUGUACCCUUCGAAUAAGCACCGGCUAACUACGUGCCAGCAGCCGCGGUAAUACGUAGGGUGCAAGCGUUAUCCGGAAUUAUUGGGCGUAAAGGGCUCGUAGGCGGUUCGUCGCGUCCGGUGUGAAAGCCCAUCGCUUAACGGUGGGUCUGCGCCGGGUACGGGCGGGCUGGAGUGCGGUAGGGGAGACUGGAAUUCCCGGUGUAACGGUGGAAUGUGUAGAUAUCGGGAAAGAACACCA
Molecule: ribosomal RNA, 542 nt
Filed under: Bifidobacterium dentium
Lineage: Bacteria; Bacillati; Actinomycetota; Actinomycetes; Bifidobacteriales; Bifidobacteriaceae
Description: bacterial SSU rRNA
Rfam family: Bacterial small subunit ribosomal RNA
Source: RNAcentral